Molecule: ribosomal RNA, 238 nt
Filed under: uncultured bacterium
Lineage: Bacteria
Description: partial 16S ribosomal RNA
Rfam family: Bacterial small subunit ribosomal RNA
Source: RNAcentral
CGGAACGGGUGAGUAACGCGUGAGGGACGUGCCUCAAAGAGGGGGACAACAGUUGGAAACGACUGCUAAUACCGCAUAAGCCCACGGCUCGGCAUCGAGCAGAGGGAAAAGGAGCGAUCCGCUUUGAGAUGGCCUCGCGUCCGAUUAGCUAGUUGGUGAGGUAACGGCCCACCAAGGCGACGAUCGGUAGCCGGACUGAGAGGUUGAACGGCCACAUUGGGACUGAGACACGGCCCAG